This 433-nucleotide ribosomal RNA is filed under the name uncultured bacterium. Its description in RNAcentral is "partial 16S ribosomal RNA". It matches the Rfam family "Bacterial small subunit ribosomal RNA", at positions 29 to 507 of the family's 1533-position model. The record is from RNAcentral.
AACGAACGCUGGCGGCAUGCCUAACACAUGCAAGUCGAACGAGACCUUCGGGUCUAGUGGCGCACGGGUGCGUAACGCGUGGGAAUCUGCCCUUGGGUUCGGAAUAACAGUUGGAAACGACUGCUAAUACCGGAUGAUGACGUAAGUCCAAAGAUUUAUCGCCCAAGGAUGAGCCCGCGUAGGAUUAGCUAGUUGGUGAGGUAAAGGCCCACCAAGGCGACGAUCCUUAGCUGGUCUGAGAGGAUGAUCAGCCACACUGGGACUGAGACACGGCCCAGACUCCUACGGGAGGCGGCAGUGGGGAAUAUUGGACAAUGGGCGGAAGGCUGAUCCAGCAAUGCCGCGUGAGUGAUGAAGGCCUUAGGGUUGUAAAGCUCUUUUACCCGGGAUGAUAGUGACAGUACCGGGAGAAUAAGCUCCGGCUAACUCCGUG